GGCUCUGUAGUGUAGUGGUUAUCACCCGGGAUUCUGAUUGCGUAUUCCCGUGACCCAGGUUCGAUCCCUGGCAGGGCCU
This 79-nucleotide transfer RNA is filed under the name Schizophyllum commune H4-8. Its description in RNAcentral is "tRNA-Gln". It matches the Rfam family "tRNA". From Rfam's summary of the family: Transfer RNA (tRNA) molecules are approximately 80 nucleotides in length. Their secondary structure includes four short double-helical elements and three loops (D, anti-codon, and T loops). The record is from Rfam by way of RNAcentral. Lineage: Eukaryota; Fungi; Basidiomycota; Agaricomycetes; Agaricales; Schizophyllaceae.